This 474-nucleotide ribosomal RNA is filed under the name Mannheimia haemolytica. Its description in RNAcentral is "bacterial SSU rRNA". It matches the Rfam family "Bacterial small subunit ribosomal RNA", at positions 1 to 476 of the family's 1533-position model. Lineage: Bacteria; Pseudomonadati; Pseudomonadota; Gammaproteobacteria; Pasteurellales; Pasteurellaceae. The record is from RNAcentral.
GAAGAGUUUGAUCAUGGCUCAGAUUGAACGCUGGCGGCAGGCUUAACACAUGCAAGUCGAACGGUAGCACAUAGGAGUUUGCUCCUUGGGUGACGAGUGGCGGACGGGUGAGUAAUGCUUGGGAAUCUGGCUUAUGGAGGGGGAUAACUACUGGAAACGGUAGCUAAUACCGCGUAAUGUCUUAGGACUAAAGGGUGGGACCAUUUGGCCACCUGCCAUAAGAUGAGCCCAAGUGGGAUUAGGUAGUUGGUGAGGUAAAGGCUCACCAAGCCCGCGAUCUCUAGCUGGUCUGAGAGGAUGACCAGCCACACUGGAACUGAGACACGGUCCAGACUCCUACGGGAGGCAGCAGUGGGGAAUAUUGCACAAUGGGGGGAACCCUGAUGCAGCCAUGCCGCGUGAAUGAAGAAGGCCUUCGGGUUGUAAAGUUCUUUCGGUGACGAGGAAGGCGAUUGUUUUAAUAGAACAGUCGAU